GCCAGUGUUGCACAGUGGUUUGGGUGUUGGACUGCAGCUCUGAAGGCCAGGAUUCAAUUCCCAGUUUGUCU
This is a non-coding RNA of Phrynosoma platyrhinos (Desert horned lizard), 71 nucleotides long. NCBI's taxonomy places the organism in Eukaryota, Metazoa, Chordata, Lepidosauria, Squamata, Phrynosomatidae. The record is from the annotation of a GenBank genome assembly.